RNAcentral lists this ribosomal RNA (495 nucleotides) under Bacillaceae bacterium oral taxon D26. Its description in RNAcentral is "bacterial SSU rRNA". It matches the Rfam family "Bacterial small subunit ribosomal RNA", at positions 28 to 503 of the family's 1533-position model. The record is from RNAcentral. Lineage: Bacteria; Bacillati; Bacillota; Bacilli; Caryophanales; Bacillaceae.
GACGAACGCUGGCGGCGUGCCUAAUACAUGCAAGUCGAGCGGAAUUUUAUUGGUGCUUGCACCUUUAAAAUUUUAGCGGCGGACGGGUGAGUAACACGUGGGUAACCUACCUUAUAGAUUGGGAUAACUCCGGGAAACCGGGGCUAAUACCGAAUAAUACUUUUUAACACAUGUUUUGAAGUUGAAAGACGGCAUCUCGCUGUCACUAUAAGAUGGACCCGCGGCGCAUUAGCUAGUUGGUGAGGUAACGGCUCACCAAGGCAACGAUGCGUAGCCGACCUGAGAGGGUGAUCGGCCACACUGGGACUGAGACACGGCCCAGACUCCUACGGGAGGCAGCAGUAGGGAAUCUUCCACAAUGGACGAAAGUCUGAUGGAGCAACGCCGCGUGAGUGAAGAAGGAUUUCGGUUCGUAAAACUCUGUUGCAAGGGAAGAACAAGUAGCGUAGUAACUGGCGCUACCUUGACGUACUUGUUAGAAAGCCACGCUAAUAC